Molecule: long non-coding RNA, 281 nt
Filed under: Volvox carteri
Lineage: Eukaryota; Viridiplantae; Chlorophyta; Chlorophyceae; Chlamydomonadales; Volvocaceae
Description: long non-coding RNA (VCAR_LNC000284)
Source: RNAcentral
ACAGGUGAUGCAGAUGGUGGUGGUGCUACUGCUGCUGCUGCUGCUGCGGGAGCGGCUGUUGCCGUCAGCGAUGCCGCCGAUGCCGGAACUGCCGCUGGACGAACCGGCGCGGCGACGAAGGUAGGGGACGCGAAGGCCUUCAAUAUGAAAUGACCAGGCACACUGACAAUGGACGAGCAGCGGCUUAGAAUGCCGCGUACGCCGCUGGCGUUGCCGGGCCGUACUCCAGCCCAGCGGCCACUGGCGGCCGCAGUAGCGGGUUCCGCGCCGUCGGGCUCGGC